AACGCACAUUGCGCCCCUUGGUAUUCCGAGGGGCAUGCCUGUUCGAGCGUCAUUACAACCCUCAAGCACUGCUUGGUAUUGGGCUCCGCUGGUUCCAGCGGGCCUUAAAGUCAGUGGCAGCGCCGUCUGAGCUCUGAGCGUAGUAAAUCUCCUCGCUAUAGAGAUCAGGCGGUCCCUCGCCAUCAACCCCCCAACUUUUCUAAGUUUGACCUCGGAUCAGGUAGGGAUACCCGCUGAACUUAA
Molecule: unclassified non-coding RNA, 243 nt
Filed under: uncultured fungus
Lineage: Eukaryota; Fungi
Description: sequence contains ITS2
Rfam family: 5.8S ribosomal RNA (bases 1-52)
Source: RNAcentral